RNAcentral lists this ribosomal RNA (247 nucleotides) under uncultured bacterium. RNAcentral describes it as "partial 16S ribosomal RNA". It matches the Rfam family "Bacterial small subunit ribosomal RNA", at positions 791 to 1035 of the family's 1533-position model. The record is from RNAcentral.
UAGUCCACGCUGUAAACGAUGAAUACUAGGUGUGGGAGGACUGACCCCUUCCGUGCCGCAGUUAACACAAUAAGUAUUCCACCUGGGGAGUACGACCGCAAGGUUGAAACUCAAAGGAAUUGACGGGGGCCCGCACAAGCAGUGGAUUAUGUGGUUUAAUUCGACGCAACGCGAAGAACCUUACCAGGAUUUGACAUCCUACUAAGGUCGCAGAGAUGCGGCUGUGCCCUUCGGGGAAAGUAGAGAC